RNAcentral lists this ribosomal RNA (510 nucleotides) under uncultured bacterium. RNAcentral's name for it is "partial 16S ribosomal RNA". It matches the Rfam family "Bacterial small subunit ribosomal RNA", at positions 28 to 507 of the family's 1533-position model. The record is from RNAcentral.
GACGAACGCUGGCGGCGUGCUUAACACAUGCAAGUCGAGCGAAGAGCGAUGGAAGCUUGCUUCUAUCAAUCUUAGUGGCGCACGGGUGAGUAACGCGUAAUCAACCUGCCCUUCAGAGGGGGACAACAGUUGGAAACGACUGCUAAUACCGCAUACGAUCUAAUCUCGGCAUCGAGGAUAGAUGAAAGGUGGCCUCUACAUGUAAGCUAUCACUGAAGGAGGGGAUUGCGUCUGAUUAGCUAGUUGGAGGGGUAACGGCCCACCAAGGCGAUGAUCAGUAGCCGGUCUGAGAGGAUGAACGGCCACAUUGGGACUGAGACACGGCCCAGACUCCUACGGGAGGCAGCAGUGGGGAAUCUUCCGCAAUGGACGAAAGUCUGACGGAGCAACGCCGCGUGAGUGAUGACGGCCUUCGGGUUGUAAAGCUCUGUUAAUCGGGACGAAAGGCCUUCUUGCGAAUAGUGAGAAGGAUUGACGGUACCGGAAUAGAAAGCCACGGCUAACUACGUG